Long non-coding RNA from Equus caballus (horse), 1705 nucleotides. The record is from Ensembl. Lineage: Eukaryota; Metazoa; Chordata; Mammalia; Perissodactyla; Equidae.
CAGCACUCAUCUGAGAGGCAGGUAGUAAUGUAGAACUCGGAAUUAUCAGAGAAACUAAAUGGGAAAAUGACUUAACAGAAUUAUUGUAACUCCCAACAGCAACAAAUUAUUAAACUCGGUUCCAAAGGGAUAUUUAAAAAGGGAUGUUAAAAGUGGUUCCAAAGGAGCUGCAUUGUAGAGCAGAAAUGCUGAAGUUGUGUAACACCUUCCUACACAAACUUCCCUAACAUUUUGGGGGUACUGCUGGGAACUUCUGGUCCUGUUGCCUGUGUUGAUUAGGUCAAGAGGCCCACAGUGGGACAAGGAUGCGGUGAACCAGCCUGUGUGGGCCGUCAGAGAAGCGGUGUGGGUGUGGUCCCCAAAGCAGCUUGGGGGGGCAUCACUGACCUGAGCACCUGAGUUUCCUGUCUGGAUAACGCAGGAAUGGGGCUGCCCACUGUGACGUUUUCUCCUUUUAUAACACGGCUGGGGCAGUCCUUCCAAGAUGCCUGACCAAGGUGUGGAUGGUUCAGCCAGGCAGGGUCCAAGGGGCACUCUGAAGUGAGCCUGACCAGGGGUUCCAGAGGGAGGAUCGUUGCAGCCAGAGGGAUGGAGGGGAGAACGGGAAAGGCAGCAUUGAAAAGGCAACUUCCAGGUUCCCAGGAAUCAAGUCUGGACUCGGCCUCCUCCCCAUCUUCCGCCGCCUCCCCCGCAGUUCGCUUCCUUUCACCACCUGCGUGCCUGCGGGUCUUUGCAGAGUAUCCCCCUCGUCCAAGCCCAAGAAGCUACCUGCCUUUCUAACUGCUUGUGGGCACUGGCUUGACGUCCCAGGAACUGUCCACUUUGCCUGCUGUCCUGUGCUUGCUCCAGCCAAAGUGCCUCAUUUCCACCGCUUUGGGGAGAAACUCGCCCUUGUGGCCCUGUUGGAAAGCAGAAAUUAAGGAGUUUACAGGCGUGGUGACAGUAGGUGUGGCUUUCUGGAAAUGCGGCCCUCAAGGGCGCCUUUUUCGCAGAGGUGGAAGUUGAGGCAUUGUGAGGCUGGUCAUUGGUUUCCCCAGGAUUUGCUGAGAGCAGAGAACAACCACGAUUCCCAGGCCAGUAUCCACGGGGCAUUCUCACCAACCCAUUCAAGUGCAGGGGCGUCAAGAAAACUCAGCUUCCAUUGACGAGCCUAAUCUCCACUCAGGCCUGACUGGCCAGUGUCUUAGAGACACAGGUGACCCUGAUCCCUCAGGAACAGACAGACUGUGUUCCAGCUUUGGGAGAGCCAUGUGCGAGGUGCAGAGCGCCUGGGCGGCAUUUGAAACCUGUCGGCUUUAACAUCUCUGCUUUGGAAGGAAGCUCAUCACAGACAGCAGUCAGCGAUGUGACUUUGACUUGCCUGGUCUGAUCUGUUGGAUUUUUCUGUCUGGAAAUGGAAAUACCCAGAAGCACUUCUGCUGCCAUUUAUCCUCUUAAUAAUUGACGUCCCUAUAUUCCUUAUGCCCUAAGGGACAGUUCCUUUGAUUGCUGGGUGGUACAGAAGUAAACACAUGUAGGGACGCUAGGUUAUCAAAGCACAUAUUCAUCACGAACACAAUGUGGCCCUACCACACGACAGGAGAUGCGCCUGGAGGACGCGCAGGAGGUGCUACGUUAACAGCGGCGCCGCUGAGCAGCGGAGUUACUGAUCUACUUUAUUUCCAUCUUAAUUUUUCAAAUUUACUACAACAUGAUUAUAAUAAGG